GGAUUAGAUACCCUGGUAGUCCACGCCGUAAACGGUGGGUACUAGGUGUGGGUUUCCUUCCUUGGGAUCCGUGCCGUAGCUAACGCAUUAAGUACCCCGCCUGGGGAGUACGGCCGCAAGGCUAAAACUCAAAGGAAUUGACGGGGGCCCGCACAAGCGGCGGAGCAUGUGGAUUAAUUCGAUGCAACGCGAAGAACCUUACCUGGGUUUGACAUGCACAGGAUGGCCGCAGAGAUGCGGCGUCCCUUGUGGUCUGUGUGCAGGUGGUGCAUGGCUGUCGUCAGCUCGUGCCG
Molecule: ribosomal RNA, 293 nt
Filed under: uncultured bacterium
Lineage: Bacteria
Description: partial 16S ribosomal RNA
Rfam family: Bacterial small subunit ribosomal RNA
Source: RNAcentral